RNAcentral lists this ribosomal RNA (368 nucleotides) under uncultured organism. RNAcentral describes it as "bacterial LSU rRNA". It matches the Rfam family "Bacterial large subunit ribosomal RNA", at positions 2099 to 2465 of the family's 2925-position model. The record is from RNAcentral.
CUUUACUGUAGCCUGUAAUUGAAUCCGGGCUGAACUUGCGCAGGAUAGGUGGGAGGCAUUGAAGUUACCCUUGUGGGGGUAAUGGAGCCAACGGUGAGAUACCACUCUGGUGCAGCUAGGAUUCUAACUUGGAGCCGUUAGCCGGCACAAGAACCGUUGCAGGUGGGCAGUUUGACUGGGGCGGUCGCCUCCUAAAUGGUAACGGAGGCGCGCAAAGGUUCCCUCAGCACGCUUGGAAACCGUGCAUAGAGUGUAAAGGCAUAAAGGGAGCUUGACUGCAAGAGUCACAACUCAAGCAGGGACGAAAGUCGGCCUUAGUGAUCCGACGGCACUGCGUGGAAGGGCCGUCGCUCAACGGAUAAAAGUUA